AUGCUAUUUUUGAUGCUGGGGCUGUUUCAGCUCCUCCCAGUGCAAGUAUCUGCUUCUAAAGAUCAGGCUGCCCCCUUAAAUCCUUAUGUUUUAUCCCUUCUUGUUCAGUCUCCUGUCCUGACUCCUGCUACAGAUGCCAGAAUCCCAAACAGGACUUCUCCAUUGGAGGUCCUCAGUGACACAGAAGAGGAGAAACUCCAGACCCAUACAUGUAUCAGAAUCCAGGCUGGAAGCCAGGAUUUUGGGGGUUGUCCCCCUCUUGUGGACAAUGUAGUGAGAGCAGCAGCAACAGGAAUUAGAAGACAACAGCAAAAUACAUGAUUUCCUCCAGCAAUCUCCUAAAAGCUGACUUUGAAGAUGUCUCUGUUUCUCAUGCACCACU
This 382-nucleotide long non-coding RNA is filed under the name Apteryx rowi (Okarito brown kiwi). RNAcentral's name for it is "lncRNA (ENSARWG00000015925.1)". Lineage: Eukaryota; Metazoa; Chordata; Aves; Apterygiformes; Apterygidae. The record is from RNAcentral.